RNAcentral lists this unclassified non-coding RNA (352 nucleotides) under plant metagenome. RNAcentral's name for it is "partial contains small subunit ribosomal RNA, internal transcribed spacer 1, and 5.8S ribosomal RNA". The record is from RNAcentral.
UUUCCGUAGGUGAACCUGCGGAAGGAUCAUUAAAAAUGAAAAACGAAUAACUUCAGGGAAGAAGGGAACCUGCCCGGUGACCUCCCCUGUCGGGCCACCCAAUACCUUCAAAAUGCCGCCGUCCUAGCGGUGGCAGACGAAAAAAAAACAAGAAAAACAAAAUAGAAACAGGUACGGUGGCCCGUUCACCUUCACACAACCCUCCGAGUACCGCUUCCAUGUUGCUUCCCCGCAAAUCCACCUCUUUGGUGAGCGCGGGGGAGGUCCGCAUCAAAUUCACCUGAAUGUCACAGCAGUCAGACAGCCAUUCAUGGAAACAAUAAAACUUUCAACAACGGAUCUCUUGGUUCCC